Molecule: ribosomal RNA, 253 nt
Filed under: uncultured bacterium
Lineage: Bacteria
Description: partial 16S ribosomal RNA
Rfam family: Bacterial small subunit ribosomal RNA
Source: RNAcentral
UACAGAGGGGGCAAGCGUUAUUCGGAAUUAUUGGGCGUAAAGGGCGCGUAGGCGGCUUGGCAAGUGGAUGGUGAAAUCCCUCGGCUUACCGAGGAACGGCCGUCCAAACUGCUUCGCUUGAGACCGGGAGAGGUGAGUGGAAUUCCCAGUGUAGCGGUGAAAUGCGUAGAUAUUGGGAGGAACACCAGUGGCGAAGGCGGCUCACUGGACCGGUACUGACGCUGAAGCGCGAAAGCGUGGGGAGCAAAGCGGG